GAUGAACGCUAGCGGCAGGCCUAAUACAUGCAAGUCGGACGGGAUUCAGGAGCUUGCUUCUGAUGAGAGUGGCGCACGGGUGCGUAACACGUAUGUAACCUACCUUUAUCAGGGGGAUAGCCUCUCGAAAGAGAGAUUAAGCCCGCAUAAAAUCACAGCACAGCAUUGAGUAAUGAUCAAAUAUUUAUAGGAUAAAGAUGGGCAUGCGGAACAUUAGCUAGAUGGCGGGGUAACGGCCCACCAUGGCGACGAUGUUUAGGGGAUCUGAGAGGAUGGCCCCCCACACUGGUACUGAGACACGGACCAGACUCCUACGGGAGGCAGCAGUAAGGAAUAUUGGUCAAUGGGCGGAAGCCUGAACCAGCCAUGCCGCGUGCAGGAAGACGGCCCUACGGGUUGUAAACUGCUUUUAUACGGGAAUAAACCCAGAUACGUGUAUCUGGCUGAAUGUACUGUAAGAAUAAGGAUCGGCUAACUCCGUG
RNAcentral lists this ribosomal RNA (482 nucleotides) under uncultured bacterium. RNAcentral's name for it is "partial 16S ribosomal RNA". It matches the Rfam family "Bacterial small subunit ribosomal RNA", at positions 28 to 507 of the family's 1533-position model. The record is from RNAcentral.